GUGCCCUACGGGGCGCAGCAGUGGGGAAUAUUGGACAAUGGGGGGAACCCUGAUGCAGCGACGCCGCGUGAGUGAAGAAGUAUUUCGGUAUGUAAAGCUCUAUCAGCAGGGAAGAAAAUGACGGUACCUGACUAAGAAGCCCCGGCUAACUACGUGCCAGCAGCCGCGGUAAUACGUAGGGGGCAAGCGUUAUCCGGAUUUACUGGGUGUAAAGGGAGCGUAGACGGCAGAGCAAGUCUGAAGUGAAAGCCCGCGGCCCAACUGCGGGACUGCUUUGGAAACUGCCCGGCUGGAGUGCUGCGGCG
Molecule: ribosomal RNA, 305 nt
Filed under: uncultured bacterium
Lineage: Bacteria
Description: bacterial SSU rRNA
Rfam family: Bacterial small subunit ribosomal RNA
Source: RNAcentral